This 2028-nucleotide ribosomal RNA is filed under the name Triticum aestivum (bread wheat). RNAcentral describes it as "partial small subunit ribosomal RNA". Lineage: Eukaryota; Viridiplantae; Streptophyta; Magnoliopsida; Poales; Poaceae. The record is from RNAcentral.
AUGGCGCCGCACAUCGUGCUCCUCCUCGCGGCGAGCUUCGCAGCUUCACAAGCGGCGGUGGAGUGCGGCCCCUCGGCCGCCUCUCCCUCCCCAGCACCAGCACCAGCACCAUCGCCGACGCCGUCAAACAGCAGCGCGUUCCGGGCCAAUAUCCUGGCACUCCUGGACGCGCUCCCCCAUGCCGCGGCGCCCACGGGCUUCGCCUCCCUCUCCCGGGGCGGCGGCGGCGACCGGGCCUUCGUCCGCGGCCUCUGCCGCGGUGACUUAAACCAGUCCGUGUGCCUGGCGGACCUGCAGGAGGCCGUCCGGGACCUGAGCGGCAGGUGCGCCUCCAGCCGGAGCGUGGGGGCGUGGUACAGACAAGUCUACAUCAGCUACGCCGACACCAACGACUCGGCCAUCUACGAGGGGCCAGGGCGCGUCAACCAGGUACUGUACGACGCCCGCAAGGUGACUUACGCGGGCAGCUACGACCGGGCGUACUACGCGCUGAUGAGCCGCCUGGUGGCGCGCGCGGCCGGCGGCGGCGGCAACCGGUCGGCGCGGACGAGCAUGUUCGCCACGGGGGAGGCGGUGUACGCCCCCGACGAUCCCAUCGGGACGAUGUACGGGCUGGUGCAGUGCAUGAGGGACCGCAGCGACGCCGAGUGCCAACAGUGCCUGCAUACGCUGGUGCCGCAGCUGCCGACGUGCUGCGGGGGGCAUCAGGGAGGGGUGGUGCUCGGCUUCAACUGCCACCUCCGGGUCCAGGUGUACACCUACUACGACCUGGCGCUCGACGCGCCGCCUCCAGUUCCGGCUCCCCCACCACCGGAUGCUUCAUCGCCGCCGUCGGCCGGAGAAAAUCCCAGAGAGGGGAGGCCGUCAAAACGUGCCGUCCUUGCAGGCGCGAUUUCAACCGGAACGCUACUAGUCGUGCUACUCGUCGUGCUCGUUUGUGUUUACAUGAAGUGGAGGACGGGGCCGAACAAGAGAGCACGAGAUGGUGGUAUAGAAGAUAGCAGCAACACGUACGUCAGUCCGGAGCAGUUCACUCUGCCGUUGCUGAGGGCGGCGACGGGCAACUUCGCCCCGGAAAACAAGCUGGGCGAGGGAGGUUUCGGCCAGGUUUUCAAGGGCAAGAUGCCGAAUGGACAGGCCAUAGCAGUGAAGAGGCUGUCCCAGGGCUCCUCGCAGGGGUUCCAUGAGCUGAAGAACGAGCUGGUGCUGGCGGCCAAGCUCCGGCACCGGAACCUCGUGCAGAUCCUUGGGGUCUGCUUGGAGGAGAAAGAGAAGCUCAUCGUGUACGAGUACCUGCCAAACAGGAGCCUCGACACCCUCCUUUUCGAUAAUGGGCGGUGGCGGCGGCAUGGCCUGGACUGGAGGAAGAGGCACACCAUCAUCUGCGGGAUCGCCCGUGGCCUGCUCUACCUCCACGAGGAGUCGCGCCUGAGGGUCAUCCACCGGGACCUCAAGCCCAGCAAUGUGUUGCUGGACGAGCACAUGAGCCCCAAAAUCUCUGACUUCGGCCUGGCCCGAGCGUUCCGGGGAGACCAGUCCAGAGACGUGACCAAGCGAGCGGCCGGCACCCUCGGUUACAUGUCGCCGGAGUACGCCUACUGCGGCCACGUCUCCGUCAAGUCGGACAUGUACAGCUUCGGCGUCAUCGUGCUGGAGGUCGUCACCGGUCGAAGGAACAGCAGCCCAGGCCAAGACCACGCCAACAGCUUGAGCGAGGUGUGGGAGAAGUGGAGGGCCGGGACGGCGGCGGAGAUGGCGGACGCGUCGCUGGGCGACCAGUACCCUCGGGCCCAGGUGCUCAGCUGCAUGCACAUCGGCCACCUCUGCGUCCAGAAGAAGCCGGAGCUCAGGCCCGACGCGUCGGAGGUCGUGCUCAUGCUCAGCAGCCAGUCCACGUCGCGGCGCACGCCCUCCAGGCCGGCCUUCUACGCCGGCUCCACCGGCGGCGUGGUCACCGCCUCACGUGUUCGUCCUAGCGAAAAUGUUUCGAAGAAUGGGGUGACCAUGUCGGACCUUGAACCGAGGUAG